This 253-nucleotide ribosomal RNA is filed under the name uncultured bacterium. RNAcentral describes it as "partial 16S ribosomal RNA". It matches the Rfam family "Bacterial small subunit ribosomal RNA", at positions 524 to 776 of the family's 1533-position model. The record is from RNAcentral.
UACGGAGGGUGCAAGCGUUGUCCGGAUUUAUUGGGGGUAAAGGGUGCGUAGGCGGCUUUUUAAGUCAGUGGUGAAAGACAACAGCUCAACUGUUGCAGUGCCAUUGAUACUGAAGAGCUUGAGUACAGAUGAGGUAGGCGGAAUUUAUGGUGUAGCGGUGAAAUGCAUAGAUACCAUAAAGAACACCUAUUGCGAAGGCAGCUUACUAAGCUGUAACUGACGCUGAGGCACGAAAGCCAGGGGAGCGAACGGG